UUGGAGGGCAAGUCUGGUGCCAGCAGCCGCGGUAAUUCCAGCUCCAAUAGCGUAUAUUAAAGUUGUUGCAGUUAAAAAGCUCGUAGUUGAAUUUCGGGAUCAGAGUGUCGGUCGUGCCUCGGUACGCACUGGUAUCAUUGGUUCCUACCUUCUGAAGAACCGCGAUGUCAUUAAUUUGGUGUCGUGGGGAAUCAGGACUGUUACUUUGAAAAAAUUAGAGUGUUUAAAGCAGGCUUACGCUUGAAUACAUUAGCAUGGAAUAAUGAAAUAGGACGUUUGAUUCUAUUUUGUUGGUUUCUAGGAUUGACGUAAUGAUUAAUAGGGAUAGUUGGGGGCAUUAGUAUUCAAUUGUCAGAGGUGAAAUUCUUGGAUUUAUUGAAGACUAACUACUGCGAAAGCAUUUGCCAAGGAUGUUUUCAUUAAUCAAGAACGAAAGUUAGGGGAUCGAAGACGAUCAGAUACCGUCGUAGUCUUAACCAUAAACUAUGCCGACUAGGGAUCGGAUGAUGUUAAUUUUUUAAUGACUCAUUCGGCGCCUUACGGGAAACCAAAGUGUUUGGGUUC
This 564-nucleotide ribosomal RNA is filed under the name uncultured Glomeromycotina. RNAcentral describes it as "SSU rRNA". It matches the Rfam family "Eukaryotic small subunit ribosomal RNA", at positions 548 to 1114 of the family's 1831-position model. The record is from RNAcentral. Lineage: Eukaryota; Fungi; Glomeromycota.